This 484-nucleotide long non-coding RNA is filed under the name Homo sapiens (human). Its description in RNAcentral is "non-protein coding LINC00221:10". Lineage: Eukaryota; Metazoa; Chordata; Mammalia; Primates; Hominidae. The record is from RNAcentral.
AGCCCCCGCGCAUCUCUGUGGCAGCUGCUCCGUGCUUCCCGCCCCGCCGCGCCCGCCCACCCAACGGCGCUGUGUCCCGCCGGUAGCUCAGCGGGGACUUCCUUUAUGUGGUACAGGGUUGGGCCUGGAGACCCGGAUGCCGGCGAGGUCCUGGCUGGGAGAGGCCGCCGCUGCCUUCAGGUUUCCGAGACAAUGGAGACUCUGAGAACAUCCAGAAAUAUCCACAGGACUGGCGAGGCUGUGGGCUUUCAACCACCACGAGAGGCUGUUUGCAUAUGAUUCUUCUAAAAUUGACAUCAGUGAAAUGCCUUGAAGAUAAUAAAGUGUUGAAGAAAUAAACAAAAUCAGAAUAUAUGGGAUCAGUUAGAAAGCUCUUAUUUAAGAAACAUGGAGGAUAUGAGAGCAAGCAAUGAAGUAAUGUUACAAAAUGACAUAUUUGAGUAGUUCAUACUGGUGGAAUUUUCCUGGCACUCUCAUGAGUUGA